UUUGUACUACCAAAGUUGGAACAAAUAACUAAUAUAUUGGAUGAUAAGGAGAAGGUAGGAGGAGAAGAGAAAAGAAAAACCCCAGAAUUGGAAGCGUGGAGGCUGUGCAGUGAGCAGGAAGUUGAAACUCAUCCAGCUGUCACAUAACAACAAAAGAAAAAUGUUUUAUGUAUUCAAUCAUCAUUAAAUGUGCUGUAUGUCUAUUUCCCA
Molecule: long non-coding RNA, 210 nt
Filed under: Monodelphis domestica (gray short-tailed opossum)
Lineage: Eukaryota; Metazoa; Chordata; Mammalia; Didelphimorphia; Didelphidae
Description: lncRNA (ENSMODG00000046237.1)
Source: RNAcentral